GGAGACGUAUCGAAGCGGUCAUAACGGGGCAGACUCGAAAUCUGUUAGCUCUUUUUAUCGGGCUCGUGGGUUCGAAUCCCACCGUCUCCGCCA
RNAcentral lists this transfer RNA (93 nucleotides) under Mediterraneibacter torques. RNAcentral's name for it is "tRNA-Ser". It matches the Rfam family "tRNA". From Rfam's summary of the family: Transfer RNA (tRNA) molecules are approximately 80 nucleotides in length. Their secondary structure includes four short double-helical elements and three loops (D, anti-codon, and T loops). The record is from RNAcentral. RNAcentral also lists the same sequence under 4 other names. Lineage: Bacteria; Bacillati; Bacillota; Clostridia; Lachnospirales; Lachnospiraceae.